AUAUCUUGCUCGGCCUUUUGGCGAAGAUAAACUGUAGCAUCUAUUCUUAUCAUUUCAACAUCUGAUAUUGAUAUGUGGGCCAUUGGCUCACUGGUCAUUAAUCUUAUUUUUUAUGGGGAAAUACCCAUUAUUGUGGCCUUUGAGCAUUGCCUUUGCACUACAAGCCUUGGGCUGGCACACCCCUCCAAUCCUUGUUAAAACUG
Small nuclear RNA from Cynara cardunculus var. scolymus (artichoke), 203 nucleotides. RefSeq annotates it as U2 spliceosomal RNA. The record is from RefSeq and is a predicted model, not a curated record. Lineage: Eukaryota; Viridiplantae; Streptophyta; Magnoliopsida; Asterales; Asteraceae. The transcript has a single exon.